Diabrotica virgifera virgifera (western corn rootworm) is the source of this 1294-nucleotide long non-coding RNA. RefSeq lists it as uncharacterized. The record is from RefSeq and is a predicted model, not a curated record. NCBI's taxonomy places the organism in Eukaryota, Metazoa, Arthropoda, Insecta, Coleoptera, Chrysomelidae. The transcript has 2 exons.
GCUUGUUUAGAUUGAAUAUCUGUAUUUGUAGAGUAGUGAAGGCGAAUCAAGUCCCACAGCACUUAGGCCACAAGUGACCCAAUGUGCAUCCUCCCAGGGAGUUGUCAUCCUUAGCUCAUUGUUCAUCCUCCCAUUUAUAGAAGGUGAACAAGUUUGUCCAUCCUCCCAUUUAUAGAAGGUGAACAAGUUUGUCCAUCCUCCCAUUUAUAGAAGGUGAACAAGUUUGUCCAUCCUCCCAUUUAUAGAAGGUGAACAAGUUUGUCCAUCCUCCCAUUUAUAGAAGGUGAACAAGUUUGUCCAUCCUCCCAUUUAUAGAAGGUGAACAAGUUUGUCCAUCCUCCCAUUUAGAGAAAGUGAACAAGUCACCAGGUGACAUCUCCCUUAUGUGGGAGGUGUAGGCCAGGGCUCACCAAACACAUACUCUCAUAUUGACGAUAACUCCCGGACACUCACAUGGAAUGCUCGACAGUUUCGUCUACAUGUUCACACUACCUCCACAAUGUGUUGACUAGCCCCAGUGUAUGGAGGUCAAGAAGAGUGGAGAAAACCACUCUUCAACCCUUCACUUACACAAGGGGUUCAACUGCUACAUUUUUUGGGAAUAAAUCAAAAUUAUAUUAUCAGAAAAUUUAUUUUUAUAUUUUAAACUCCAACUGAGAAAUCUUUUUCAGAACAUAAAUUUGUUUAUUUCUGUUUCUCAGCUGUAAGUCAAAAUAUCAAAAAUAAACUAUUUGUGAUUACAAUUGUGGUUUCUUCCCAUAAAAUAUAGUGGAUAAAAUAGGUUGUUACAAGUUACUAAGAUACUUAGCAACAUGCAUCAAACCUUUAAGUUUAGACUGGACUACUAACAGUCCAGUCUUAUGAUGACAGGAGUAAGCAUAGUCCAGUCCUCAUGUAUUUGCCGGACAAACAGUGAGCGGUUAACAGAGGACCUAUCUGUGCUGAACUCCCGUUUAUACUUCCGGUAGUCAUCUGAUGACUAACCGUUAAUAUACCUUUUCACACAAACAUUUCGCCUCCCUUAUAUCCUGUACAAAAUACCACUUUUCAACUGAUCUUUCCAUGAUAACUAACACAGUAAAGACAGAAUGAAAAAUGAUAUAAACAGUGCGACAAAGAUUAGCAAAAUAUUUGCGAGCAUAUACUCACAUUUAAACAUCGUGUGGAUGAAUAUUAAAUGGAUUGAGAAAAUGCCGUAUCUACUGGCUAAUAUUGCUAUUACUUAUGCACUAAAGUGUAAAUACAAUUUUUGACUACUAAGGUAUUCUGUGAUAACUAACACUACAAUACCAAG